RNAcentral lists this ribosomal RNA (253 nucleotides) under uncultured bacterium. RNAcentral's name for it is "partial 16S ribosomal RNA". It matches the Rfam family "Bacterial small subunit ribosomal RNA", at positions 524 to 776 of the family's 1533-position model. The record is from RNAcentral.
UACGUAGGUCCCGAGCGUUGUCCGGAAUUACUGGGUGUAAAGGGUGCGCAGGCGGUCUUGUGCGUCCGAAGUGAAAUAUCACGGCUUAACCGUGAGGGUGCUUUUGAAACGGCGAGACUUGAGUACGGGAGAGGAUGAUGGAAUUCCUGGUGUAGCAGUGAAAUGCGUAGAUAUGCGGAGGAACACCGAUGGCGAAGGCAAUCCCCUGGGCCUGCACUGACGCUCAUGCACGAAAGCGUGGGGAGCAACCAGG